RNAcentral lists this unclassified non-coding RNA (348 nucleotides) under soil metagenome. Its description in RNAcentral is "partial contains 5.8S ribosomal RNA, internal transcribed spacer 2, and large subunit ribosomal RNA". The stretch from base 1 to 120 matches the Rfam family "5.8S ribosomal RNA", at positions 35 to 154 of the family's 154-position model. The record is from RNAcentral.
GAUGAAGAACGUAGCGAAUUGCGAUAUGUAAUGUGAAUUGCAGAAUUCAGUGAAUCAUCGAAUCUUUGAACGCACAUUGCGCCCGCCAGUAUUCUGGCGGGCAUGCCUGUCUGAGCGUCAUUUCAACCCUCAUGCCCCUAGGGCGUGGUGUUGGGGAUCGGCCAAAGCCCGCGAGGGACGGCCGGCCCCUAAAUCUAGUGGCGGACCCGUCGUGGCCUCCUCUGCGAAGUAGUGAUAUUCCGCAUCGGAGAGCGAUGAGCCCCUGCCGUUAAACCCCCAACUUUCCAAGGUUGACCUCAGAUCAGGUAGGAAUACCCGCUGAACUUAAGCAUAUCAAUAAGCGGAGGA